Molecule: transfer RNA, 69 nt
Filed under: Candidatus Heteroclostridium caecigallinarum
Lineage: Bacteria; Bacillati; Bacillota; Clostridia
Also listed under: 3 other names
Rfam family: tRNA
About the family: Transfer RNA (tRNA) molecules are approximately 80 nucleotides in length. Their secondary structure includes four short double-helical elements and three loops (D, anti-codon, and T loops).
Source: RNAcentral
AGGUGUGGCUCAGUUUGGUAGAGCGCUGCGUUCGGGACGCAGAGGUCGCAGGUUCAAAUCCUGUCACCU